RNAcentral lists this long non-coding RNA (777 nucleotides) under Vigna radiata. RNAcentral's name for it is "long non-coding RNA (VRAD_LNC013669)". Lineage: Eukaryota; Viridiplantae; Streptophyta; Magnoliopsida; Fabales; Fabaceae. The record is from RNAcentral.
CACAUUAAAAAUAAUUAUAUAUUAUUUAAAAAUCAUUAUCAAAUAAGUUUACAAGAUGCCUAAUAUCAUAAAUUGAUUGUACUGUUCCUAAGACGUCAAAUAAUAUAAAUUCUACAACAUAGAAUGACAAGUCUAUAGUUUCCUAAUAAUCACCAUCAAGACGUCAAAUAAUAUAAAUUCUACAACAUAGAAUGACAAGUCUAUAGUUUCCUAAUAAUCACCAUCUUGGAGUUGAUCUUGUCAUUGAACUCCACCACCGUGAUAGGAACUUCACCACAUAUUGCUUUUUCUCUUGUCCUUAUUACACUACAAGAAAAAUCACAGUUAUAAAAACAAAAUGUCUAGCCUAUUACUCAGUUUCCCAUAGUGUGAAAUGUUAUAGGGCAAGAAGCUAUCAUCAUGUUAAUAGUUGUCAAAGCAGCAAUCUGCAACUGCUCAUAUACUAGCAUUAAAGCAACAAAAGCAAUUGCCCCACUAAAUUAAUAGAAAUUUAUUAUGUCACUUUUUGUAUGAGUCUAUACAUCAAUUUAUAAUUUUACAAAACUUAGCUCUUUAUUAAUGCAUUAACUUGCCAAAUAAGUCUAUAUAUAAGUUGAUUUUUUUAUUUGCGAGGAAGACUUUUUUUCUUAUUUUCUUUUCUUGAGAGUUUUUAUAAAAUUUUAUGAAAAGAAAUUCAACUAAUUAAUAACAAUUGAAUCCAAAUCUGCAACGAGAUUAUACUAAAAUCACAAGGGACAUUCAAACGUUCAUACAUCCAAAUAUAAUUAAUUUUGGAAC